RNAcentral lists this ribosomal RNA (520 nucleotides) under uncultured archaeon. Its description in RNAcentral is "SSU rRNA". It matches the Rfam family "Archaeal small subunit ribosomal RNA", at positions 339 to 859 of the family's 1478-position model. The record is from RNAcentral.
GCGCGAAACCUCCGCAAUGCGGGAAACCGCGACGGGGUCAGCCGGAGUGCUCGCGCAUCGCGCGGGCUGUCGGGGUGCCUAAAAAGCACCCCAUAGCAAGGGCCGGGCAAGGCCGGUGGCAGCCGCCGCGGUAAUACCGGCGGCCCGAGUGGCGGCCACUUUUAUUGGGCCUAAAGCGUCCGUAGCCGGGCUGGUAAGUCCUCCGGGAAAUCUGGCGGCUUAACCGUCAGACUGCCGGAGGAUACUGCCAGCCUAGUGACCGGGAGAGGCCGGGGGUAUUCCCGGGGUAGGGGUGAAAUCCUGUAAUCCCGGGAGGACCACCUGUGGCGAAGGCGCCCGGCUGGAACGGGUCCGACGGUGAGGGACGAAGGCCAGGGGAGCGAACCGGAUUAGAUACCCGGGUAGUCCUGGCUGUAAACGAUGCGGACUAGGUGUCACCGAAGCUACGAGCUUCGGUGGUGCCGGAGGGAAGCCGUUAAGUCCGCCGCCUGGGGAGUACGGCCGCAAGGCUGAAACUUAA